RNAcentral lists this ribosomal RNA (1446 nucleotides) under uncultured bacterium. Its description in RNAcentral is "bacterial SSU rRNA". It matches the Rfam family "Bacterial small subunit ribosomal RNA". The record is from RNAcentral.
AGGGUUUGAUCAUGGCUCAGGAUGAACGCUGGCGGCGUGCUUAACACAUGCAAGUCGAACGAACCUUCGGGUUAGUGGCGGACGGGUGAGUAACGCGUGAGAAUCUGCCCUCAGGAGGGGGAUAACGGCUGGAAACGGCCGCUAAUACCCCAUAUGCCGCGAGGUGAAAUGAAUUUCGCCUGAGGAUGAGCUCGCGUCUGAUUAGCUAGUUGGUGGGGUAAAGGCCUACCAAGGCAUCGAUCAGUAGCUGGUCUGAGAGGAUGAUCAGCCACACUGGGACUGAGACACGGCCCAGACUCCUACGGGAGGCAGCAGUGGGGAAUUUUCCGCAAUGGGCGAAAGCCUGACGGAGCAACGCCGCGUGAGGGAUGAAGGCCUCUGGGCUGUAAACCUCUUUUAUCAAGGAAGAAGAUCUGACGGUACUUGAUGAAUAAGCCACGGCUAAUUCCGUGCCAGCAGCCGCGGUAAUACGGGAGUGGCAAGCGUUAUCCGGAAUUAUUGGGCGUAAAGCGUCCGCAGGCGGCCCUUCAAGUCUGCUGUUAAAACGUGGAGCUUAACUCCAUCAUGGCAGUGGAAACUGUUGGGCUUGAGUGUGGUAGGGGCAGAGGGAAUUCCCGGUGUAGCGGUGAAAUGCGUAGAUAUCGGGAAGAACACCAGUGGCGAAGGCGCUCUGCUGGGCCAUCACUGACGCUCAUGGACGAAAGCCAGGGGAGCGAAAGGGAUUAGAUACCCCUGUAGUCCUGGCCGUAAACGAUGAACACUAGGUGUCGGGGGAAUCGACCCCCUCGGUGUCGUAGCCAACGCGUUAAGUGUUCCGCCUGGGGAGUACGCACGCAAGUGUGAAACUCAAAGGAAUUGACGGGGGCCCGCACAAGCGGUGGAGUAUGUGGUUUAAUUCGAUGCAACGCGAAGAACCUUACCAGGGUUUGACAUCCUGCGAAUCUCUUGGAAACGAGAGAGUGCCUUCGGGAGCGCAGUGACAGGUGGUGCAUGGCUGUCGUCAGCUCGUGUCGUGAGAUGUUGGGUUAAGUCCCGCAACGAGCGCAACCCACGUCUUUAGUUGCCAGCAUUCAGUUGGGCACUCUAGAGAGACCGCCGGUGAUAAACCGGAGGAAGGUGUGGAUGACGUCAAGUCAUCAUGCCCCUUACAUCCUGGGCUACACACGUACUACAAUGCUACGGACAAAGGGCAGCAAGUUCGCGAGGACAAGCAAAUCCCAUAAACCGUGGCUCAGUUCAGAUCGUAGGCUGCAACUCGCCUACGUGAAGGAGGAAUCGCUAGUAAUCGCAGGUCAGCAUACUGCGGUGAAUACGUUCCCGGGCCUUGUACACACCGCCCGUCACACCAUGGAAGUUGGCCACGCCCGAAGCCGUUACUCCAACCCUUGUGGAGGAGGGCGUCGAAGGUGGGGCUGAUGACUGGGGUGAAGUCGUAACAAGGUAGCC